GGAAGGAUCAUUGAUUAGUUGUUUAUCAAUCAAACUAAAUUCGAGGAGCCAGUAACCUCGUUAAAUAAUAUCGGGGUAAUAUCGAGGAGUCGGAUGGUAACCUCGUUAAACACUUAUUCGAAUUGAUCGAGGAUGGACCUUAGGAAACCUCGUUAAAAACUCACUUAGGAAGGAUCUAUCGGUUGCCACCCCUGGCCGGGGAGGUUGACCGGUGGGCAUAUCCUUUCUCCCUCUCGCCAAGGGAGUCCAAUCAGUUAGGUUGUGCCUUGCUGGCCCAUUUGAUUGAUCAAACCUUAAUGAAUUACUAUACUAAUAAAACCAAAACAUCAACCUUUAAGCGGUGGAUACCUUGGCUACCAUAACGAUGAAGAACGCAGCGAAACGCGAUAUUUAUUGCGAAUUGCAGAAUUCAGUGAAUCAUCAAAACUUUGAACGCAUUGCAGCCCUGGGUUCACGUCCUUGGCUAUGCCUCAGCGACUAUCAAAAGGUAAAAAACUCCUGCCCUGGUGUGUAUUGGAUAUGGAAGGUGGACUUUCCCGAGUCUUCUGGUACUAAUUCGGUCAAACAAGCACUAUGGCUCUUUGAGAGUUAGAUGCGAAUCUAUCUCUUUAAAUAUCAGUGGCAAUCGUCGCAUCGUGCCAGUCUUUAGGGGUCUUCACGGACCCUGCUGUUUGGGUGAGAGUUGAUGGCUUGAUAGAGUUCCUUGUAGACACACUCGUGUGUCUGCGGGAGAUUCUUGAAGGUAGGAAAACAAUCGCAUAUUCAGGCAGUGACUGAUAUAUCGUGGCGAGCUUUGGCUACUCUAACCGUCGUAAUAUGUACGUACACGCCAGUGUAUGUAGAUAAAGCAACAAUUUCUCUACCUGAUGUCGUUGAGGUAAGAUUACCCCCUGAGUUUAAGCAUAUUCGUAAGGGGAGGAAAAGAAACUAAAAAGGAUUCCCUCAGUAACGGCGAGUGAACCGGGAAGAGCUCAACCCGAGAAUCUUAGUUGGUCUCCUUCUAAGAAUUGUGGGCAACGGAGACAUGCUCAGCGUGUGGCCCUGGUCUAAGUAUGCCUGGGAUGCAUCGUCAGAGAGGGUGAGAACCCCGUCUGGGACCAGAAGUCCGCCGCGUACGAGCUGUCAUCCUAGAGUCGGAUUGCUUGGGAAUGCAGUCUUAAAUGGGUGGUAAAUUCCAUCCAAAGCUAAAUAUAUAUGGUAGACCGAUAGCACACAAGUACCGUAAGGGAAAGGUGAAAAGAACUUUGAAAAGAGAGUCAAAAGUACUUGAAACCGUUUAAAGUCACGGGAUAAGAACUGUUGGAUCGGGUUGCCACUAUUACUACUGUCCCGACACUUGACUACAUUUAGGGGUAUCGAGGAGCCUUGCUUGCUUGGUUCUUGCCCCAAUUUGUUCCGAGAGUGUUGACAGUUGGGAACGUGAGCGCGAGUAGUGUCAGAAUGAAUUCACUGCUGGGGAAUGCAUGCUGUUGGGGUGGUAAAGUCGUGAUCGUUUCCGAACGUGAUCCUUGAAUACUCAUCGUGUCAUGUACCUCGGCGUGGAUUGAGGUCUUCCUUGAUUCUGGCCAUAUACGGUUCUUAUCCACCCGUCUUGAAACACGGACCAAGGAGUCCAACAUACACGCGAGUCUUAAGGUGUAAAAACCUGUUGUAGGCGAAAUGAAAGUGAAGGGUUUGCUUCGGCUUUCCCGAGAUGUGAAUCCCUUUUGGGGGGAGGCAACAUCAUCCGGCUGUGCCAUUAGUGUGCGGUUCGAGAUUGAGCGUGUAUGCUGGGACCCGAAAGAUGGUGAACUAUGCCUGGGUAGGGUGAAGCCAGGGGAAACUCUGGUGGAAGCUCGUAGAGAUGCUGACGUGCAAAUCGUUCUUCGAACCUGGGUAUAGGGGCGAAAGACUAAUCGAACCAUCUAGUAGCUGGUUCCCUC
Molecule: unclassified non-coding RNA, 1922 nt
Filed under: uncultured fungus
Lineage: Eukaryota; Fungi
Description: sequence contains 18S rRNA gene, ITS1, 5.8S rRNA gene, ITS2, 28S rRNA gene
Rfam family: Eukaryotic large subunit ribosomal RNA (bases 864-1922)
Source: RNAcentral